Molecule: ribosomal RNA, 465 nt
Filed under: uncultured bacterium
Lineage: Bacteria
Description: partial 16S ribosomal RNA
Rfam family: Bacterial small subunit ribosomal RNA
Source: RNAcentral
CCUACGGGUGGCAGCAGUAGGGAAUCUUCCACAAUGGGCGAAAGCCUGAUGGAUCAACGCCGCGGGGGUGAAGAAGGUCUUCGGAUCGUAAAACCCUGUUGUUAGAGAAGAAAGUGCGUGAGAGUAACUGUUCACGUUUCGACGGUAUCUAACCAGACAGCCACGGCUAACUACGUUACAGCAGCCGCGGUAAUACGGAGGUGGCAAGCGUUAUCCGGAUUUAUUGGGCGGAAAGGGAACCCAGGCGGUCGUUUAAGUCUGAUGUGAAAACCUUCGGCUUAACCGGAGUAGUGCAUUGGAAACUGGGAGACUUGAGUGCAGAAGAGGAGAGUGGAACUCCAUGUGUAGCGGUGAAAUGCGUAGAUAUAUGGAAGAACACCAGUGGCGAAAGCGGCUCUUUGGUCUGUAACUGACGCUGAGGUUCGAAAGCGUGGGUAGCAAACAGGAUUAGAUACCCUUGUAGUC